UAAUACGGAGAGGGCUAGCGUUAUUCGGAAUUAUUGGGCGUAAAGGGCGCGUAGGCUGGUUAAUAAGUUAAAAGUGAAAUCCCGAGGCUUAACCUUGGAAUUGCUUUUAAAACUAUUAAUCUAGAGAUUGAAAGAGGAUAGAGGAAUUCCUGAUGUAGAGGUAAAAUUCGUAAAUAUUAGGAGGAACACCAGUGGCGAAGGCGUCUAUCUGGUUCAAAUCUGACGCUGAGGCGCGAAGGCGUGGGGAGCAAACAGGAUUAGAUACCCUGGUAGUCCACGCUGUAAACGAUGAAUGUUAAAUAUGGGAAGUUUACUUUCUGUAUUAUAGCUAACGCGUUAAACAUUCCGCCUGGGGACUACGGUCGCAAGAUUA
RNAcentral lists this ribosomal RNA (373 nucleotides) under uncultured bacterium. RNAcentral describes it as "bacterial SSU rRNA". It matches the Rfam family "Bacterial small subunit ribosomal RNA", at positions 521 to 896 of the family's 1533-position model. The record is from RNAcentral.